Molecule: small RNA, 93 nt
Filed under: Shimwellia blattae
Lineage: Bacteria; Pseudomonadati; Pseudomonadota; Gammaproteobacteria; Enterobacterales; Enterobacteriaceae
Description: Escherichia blattae Salmonella enterica Typhi npcRNA 44
Rfam family: Salmonella enterica Typhi npcRNA 44
Source: Rfam by way of RNAcentral
CUUUAAAAAUCUGGAACAAGCUGAAAAUUGAAACAAUAAACGCGUAAGCGUUUAUGAGUCUCUCUAAAUUAUCACACCUGAAGACAUCUUCGG